UACGGAGGGGGCGAGCGUUAUUCGGAAUCAUUGGGCGUAAAGGGCGCGUAGGCGGCCCCGUAAGUCUUGGGUGAAAGCCCUCGGCUCAACCGAGGAAUUGCCUUGGAUACUGCGGGGCUCGAGGCUGGAAGAGGGCAGUGGAAUUCCAGGUGUAGCGGUGAAAUGCGUAGAUAUCUGGAGGAACACCGGUGGCGAAGGCGGCAUCCUGGACCAAUAUUGACGCUGAGGAGCGAAAGCCAGGGGAGCAAACGGG
RNAcentral lists this ribosomal RNA (253 nucleotides) under uncultured bacterium. RNAcentral describes it as "partial 16S ribosomal RNA". It matches the Rfam family "Bacterial small subunit ribosomal RNA", at positions 524 to 776 of the family's 1533-position model. The record is from RNAcentral.